GCUGGGCAUGGUGGUGCAUGCCUGUAGUGCCAGCUACUCAGCAGGCUGAGGCAGGAGGAUUGCUUGAGCCCAGGAGUUGGAGGCUGCAGUGAGCUAUGAUCAUGCCACUGCACUCCAGCCUGAGCAGCAGAGUGAGAUCCUGUCUUAA
Molecule: unclassified non-coding RNA, 148 nt
Organism: Pongo abelii (Sumatran orangutan)
Lineage: Eukaryota; Metazoa; Chordata; Mammalia; Primates; Hominidae
Rfam family: Metazoan signal recognition particle RNA
About the family: The signal recognition particle (SRP) is a universally conserved ribonucleoprotein. It is involved in the co-translational targeting of proteins to membranes.
Source: Ensembl